RNAcentral lists this long non-coding RNA (1678 nucleotides) under Bemisia tabaci. Its description in RNAcentral is "lncRNA ENSSSA2NGG000018". The record is from RNAcentral. Lineage: Eukaryota; Metazoa; Arthropoda; Insecta; Hemiptera; Aleyrodidae.
GUGGUUUCUGAGCUGCAGGAGUUGGCUUUUGCUGAUCGGAAGAAGAACCUCUGCAAGUCGUCACGUCAGCGGAUCAUAUUAUCACUCAGAAUCUCUGUGUUGAUGAAACUGGAUGUGCUGAUCGGUGUCGUGUUGCUGAAAAUUCGUUGCUCACUGUUGCCAAAGAACGCUCUCUUCUUGACACAAAGUGUUCUGAAUUACAAAGAGCUUUAUUGAGGUCGGUAUUCUUCAGUUUGCUACUUACUGCAAUAGCUUAUUAACUUUAUUAAUCUAAGUAUAUAACUCUACAGAAAGAAAAGAGAGAAAAUAAAUAAGAAAAAAAUGAAUUUAAAAUUUUCAACUGAGAGUAGAAUUUUUUAUGUAGCAAAAGAACCAAUUCAAUACCUGUCUAUUUUUAAUAGAACAGCUUUUCAGUUUGUCAGCAACUGUAAUAUGCAUACUCAUUUAAUAAAAAGAAAUUAUUUUAAAUGGUAAGUAACUUUAAGACAGAUACCAUACUCCCAGGCAAUCAUCCUUCCUUUCAAUGCCUUAUCAAUUCAUUCCUUUUUCUCUGUCAGUUUAUUCCAGUUUUUAUUAUUGCAAUUCCUUUUUUGUUAUUUUUUCUAGCGAGAAGGCAAAGAAAUGUUCUCAGUGCUCAGACCUUCAAUGUCAGGUGGCUUCCCUCAAAGAAGAGCUAGCAGAAAAGACAAAACCUUGCUCUCAAUGUAAACAACUGCAUAUUAAACUCAGGAACAAUAAAAAUUUUAUCAAGAGAAACAAGAAAAAUGGAGACUUGCCUUUAAUAAUUUCCUUGAAUCUCGUCUUUUCUCUGAAGAAAAAUGCAACACUGCCAUGAGCUAUGUGUCUCAAAUGAUACCAUUUGACGAAGAUGAAGCUGAAGGUAGCAUUGAUAGCAGAAGCGUUCUCCAACAAAAGGCUACUGUUGAUACACCGAAACGAAAGUCUCCUUGUUCUGACGUAGAAUUAGAUCCUGGGAGUAGGAAGCGUAAAUCUCCCUGCAUUGAGACAGAAGAAUCAAUGGAACCAUCUGUGUCCCAUCAGCCGAAAAAAACUGUUGAAAAAAAAGGAAGAAAUGAAGAAGAUUCAAAAUUCACAAGUAAACCGUCCAGUAGCAAGGAGGCGCCGGUGAAGAAACCUGAAGUUAAAAUAGAGCCACAGGGUUUGAAUAAAUAUAAUAUUAUCGUGCCCGAAACACUGCCUAGUGAGCCUAUCUGUCCAGUUGUGGAAAAGAAAAGAAUUAUCAUUCCUGAGACUUUAUAUCCAGAAGAUGAUUUUGUGGAACCGAUGUCUGAGGAGCAUAAAACACCCAAAAAAGAGCCAACGAAUGGUGAAGAAGAUAACAGCCCUGUUCUAAGUGUAUCAAAAAAACCUGGAAAACCAUUGAUCAGUGCACCAGCUGAGGAACUCAAAGUCAAAGAAGAAGAGCUCGAAACUGUAGAGAAUGAGCAAAUAUCUCCAUUAACAGCCCAUCCUAAAAGUCCCUCAGUGCUGGCAGUCGAAGAGAAUCCAUCAAUUCACCCUCUGCUUGAAUCCAAAGAUCGAAAGUGUUGGAUGAGUUCUUUGAUGAAAUUGAAAAAAAUGCUGGCAGCUCGAGGAGAAGCAAGACUUUUAGCAAAGACAACUCAAAGUCUCCAGCACUGAAAAGUCUAAGGCUAAAACUGAUAUGAUAACUCCUCAG